AAAUUGAAGAGUUUGAUCAUGGCUCAGAUUGAACGCUGGCGGCAGGCCUAACACAUGCAAGUCGAACGGUAACAGGAAACAGCUUGCUGUUUCGCUGACGAGUGGCGGACGGGUGAGUAAUGUCUGGGAAACUGCCUGAUGGAGGGGGAUAACUACUGGAAACGGUAGCUAAUACCGCAUAACGUCGCAAGACCAAAGAGGGGGACCCUCGGGCCUCUUGCCAUCGGAUGUGCCCAGAUGGGAUUAGCUUGUUGGUGGGGUAACGGCUCACCAAGGCGACGAUCCCUAGCUGGUCUGAGAGGAUGACCAGCCACACUGGAACUGAGACACGGUCCAGACUCCUACGGGAGGCAGCAGUGGGGAAUAUUGCACAAUGGGCGCAAGCCUGAUGCAGCCAUGCCGCGUGUAUGAAGAAGGCCUUCGGGUUGUAAAGUACUUUCAGCGGGGAGGAAGGGAGUAAAGUUAAUACCUUUGCUCAUUGACGUUACCCGCAGAAGAAGCACCGGCUAACUCCGUGCCAGCAGCCGCGGUAAUACGGAGGGUGCAAGCGUUAAUCGGAAUUACUGGGCGUAAAGCGCACGCAGGCGGUUUGUUAAGUCAGAUGUGAAAUCCCCGGGCUCAACCUGGGAACUGCAUCUGAUACUGGCAAGCUUGAGUCUCGUAGGGGGGGUAGAAUUCCAGGUGUAGCGGUGAAAUGCGUAGAGAUCUGGAGGAAUACCGGUGGCGAAGGCGGCCCCCUGGACGAAGACUGACGCUCAGGUGCGAAAGCGUGGGGAGCAAACAGGAUUAGAUACCCUGGUAGUCCACGCCGUAAACGAUGUCGACUUGGAGGUUGUGCCCUUGAGGCGUGGCUUCCGGAGCUAACGCGUUAAGUCGACCGCCUGGGGAGUACGGCCGCAAGGUUAAAACUCAAAUGAAUUGACGGGGGCCCGCACAAGCGGUGGAGCAUGUGGUUUAAUUCGAUGCAACGCGAAGAACCUUACCUGGUCUUGACAUCCACGGAAGUUUUCAGAGAUGAGAAUGUGCCUUCGGGAACCGUGAGACAGGUGCUGCAUGGCUGUCGUCAGCUCGUGUUGUGAAAUGUUGGGUUAAGUCCCGCAACGAGCGCAACCCUUAUCCUUUGUUGCCAGCGGUCCGGCCGGGAACUCAAAGGAGACUGCCAGUGAUAAACUGGAGGAAGGUGGGGAUGACGUCAAGUCAUCAUGGCCCUUACGACCAGGGCUACACACGUGCUACAAUGGCGCAUACAAAGAGAAGCGACCUCGCGAGAGCAAGCGGACCUCAUAAAGUGCGUCGUAGUCCGGAUUGGAGUCUGCAACUCGACUCCAUGAAGUCGGAAUCGCUAGUAAUCGUGGAUCAGAAUGCCACGGUGAAUACGUUCCCGGGCCUUGUACACACCGCCCGUCACACCAUGGGAGUGGGUUGCAAAAGAAGUAGGUAGCUUAACCUUCGGGAGGGCGCUUACCACUUUGUGAUUCAUGACUGGGGUGAAGUCGUAACAAGGUAACCGUAGGGGAACCUGCGGUUGGAUCACCUCCUUA
RNAcentral lists this ribosomal RNA (1541 nucleotides) under Escherichia coli. RNAcentral's name for it is "bacterial SSU rRNA". It matches the Rfam family "Bacterial small subunit ribosomal RNA". Lineage: Bacteria; Pseudomonadati; Pseudomonadota; Gammaproteobacteria; Enterobacterales; Enterobacteriaceae. The record is from RNAcentral.